UACGUAGGGUGCAAGCGUUAAUCGGAAUUACUGGGCGUAAAGCGUGCGCAGGCGGUUUUGUAAGUCUGUCGUGAAAUCCCCGGGCUCAACCUGGGAAUUGCGGUGGAGACUGCAAGGCUAGAAUCUGGCAGAGGGGGGUAGAAUUCCACGUGUAGCAGUGAAAUGCGUAGAGAUGUGGAGGAACACCGAUGGCGAAGGCAGCCCCCUGGGUCAAGAUUGACGCUCAUGCACGAAAGCGUGGGGAGCAAACAGG
This 253-nucleotide ribosomal RNA is filed under the name uncultured bacterium. RNAcentral's name for it is "partial 16S ribosomal RNA". It matches the Rfam family "Bacterial small subunit ribosomal RNA", at positions 524 to 776 of the family's 1533-position model. The record is from RNAcentral.